This is a long non-coding RNA of Gallus gallus (chicken), 2064 nucleotides long. Lineage: Eukaryota; Metazoa; Chordata; Aves; Galliformes; Phasianidae. The record is from Ensembl.
CGUUGCUUCCUCUAGCUACUGUAAAUGAAUGAGCAGUAUGGAAAUGAAUGGAAAAGCAUUACAUGAGCACAGGUAGACUAUAAGCUUUCCACUUCAUGUUGAGAAGAAAAACACGAGUGAGGAUAUAGAAAAAAAUAUUCAAUGUGAAUAUCACUGGAAAUACAUCAGUUCUUUUAUUUUUAUGUGUGGUUACACAAGACUCUGCUUGAUUGACUGUGGUUAAACAUGAAGAAAAUCAAGCGAAGCAAUGGAGCAAAGAACAACGCAGGUGCUCUUUUCCUGAGGUUUUUGAAAUAGUGCACUAUGUGCAAAGCCAGUGAGCCGCACUUUGUGUUGGCUGGCUGGGGAAACAGUUUCAAAGAAUUCUGUUAUCAAAACUAGUGAGCAAGCUUAGGAGAAGCAAAAACGUAACAAAGCAACAGCAACAAAAAGUUAUAUUUGCAAGAGGCGGCUUGGUAUUGAUGGAUCUGUCCUACAUUGGAUUGAAUCUUCACUGAAGACCCUAGGAACCUUUGGGGAGAAGAAGAAUAUAUCCCCAGAUUCAAGACAUUCACGAUUCUAAAUGUGAUGUUUUCUGAGGCAGUUUGAAAGAGUCAAGGUUUGGAAGCUGAUAAAAUGAGGAGAGGCAGCGAAAUGGACAACAUAGCUUGAAUCAGUUACAGCACUGACUUGAAAUUAUUUAGAACACCAGCCCCAUCCCACUCAAUCCCCAUCCUGUUUUUGUCUUAUAUGUCUGUGAUGUUCCAUGAGAAAGACAGAGAGCCUACCAGUGCUGCUGAACCCAGACUCUCUUGCAUCCCAUGUCACUUACACCAGAGGAACUCCGAGAACAGGCUGAAACCAUGCAGUGGCUGUUUGCACAGAAUUUACCACUGCAAACUUUUCUGACUCUGGACAACUGCACCGCCACGGUUGUGCCAGAGCAGGCCAAAGAACAAGAGGUUAUGGACAAUUUUUUAAUAGUCCACAAACCCCCAGGGAAGCGGGACAUCUGUUGGAGUACUCUUUCAGUAGACAUCUCAAGUGGCCAGCUAACCUGCUGGGGAAUGGAUCAUCCUGCAGAGGGUGAAUCAUGAGCUCACAGAUGAAAGUCACCCAAGAUGACAUCCCAGAUACUAUUGGCAAACAUCAUACAUGCCGAAAUCAAAGAUGAAGCUGUCAAACAGUAAGAGUGGAUGCUGCAGGGAUAGACAGCAACAUCAUGUUAAAGAAAACGCUCUCAGAAGCCUUCAGGGGAAGUCACUGCACAAAGUGGAAAGUGUGUUUAAAAAAGAGAGAGAAAAAUUAAAGUAUAUAAGCCAACUCAAGGUAUCUUGAGGUACCAGUAGUGUGUUGUAGAACGUUCGACUCCUGGGAUGCAUAUGUGGAAUGGAAGAUUUGGACUUUAUCUGGAUGUUCUACUGGCUAUUCAGAAGAUGGCCCUGAGAGAGGAGUUGACUCUACUUCUCUUCUGAAGUUGGGUUAUUGCAAAAAGUAUCAUUUCAGGCAAGCUCUGUAAGCCCAUGUCUGAGUCACUGAGAUGUGCUUUGCAAUGGAGGAUUAAGGUUAUAAAUCUCUUCCAUGAAGAUCUUUUGUGCCAUACAGGAACUUACGGGGCAUAAUUUCUGUUGAGGAACUGGAUUGUGACUGACAGGCACCAAAAAAGCUGAAGAGUUUGCACAUGGAAGCAUGACUGUGCUUGCAGUCCCACAGUAGAAAAGGCAACCAGGAGGGGGGAAUAAUCAGUAACAAGGAAAGAACUGCCUGGGAUGUCCGGGCUGGCCACCAGUGGAAAAAAAAGAAAGAAUCAGAUGAGAACUGAGUGAAGUAUAAGAAACCAAGCACAGAUAUUGCCUGGAUAUUUUUGUGCCUGAAGUUGUUCCUUGCCACCUGUUACCUGAUUCUUCAAUUGCACCAACUUUCUCUUCCAUGACAGUGGUUGGCAUCCUGCUAAGGACAAGUAAGCACUCUUGGUUUUCAAGAUGGUAUAGGUUUUCACUUAGUUCAGUCCCUAGAACAGGUAGGACAAAAAUGUUUUUGCAUCCCAUUCUUUCUUCAUUCCAGAACCAGGAAUUAUUGAACCAC